UCCAGCAUCUGCAGUUCCUACUAUCUCUAUAAACACAGGCAGAGCCCCCUUGGCCUCAAUGGCCCUCUUCUGGGAACAGUCUGUGGACAGACUCGUAAAACUCUGGCUUCUCAAGAUGCCCGUGGAGCGUUUCGGGGGAUGUAGUUCUUGCGGGCCAUAGGUCCGUGGAACGAGCCACCUCCGAGACUACAACCCCCGACACGCACCCCGCGGCGUACAUACGCAUGUGCAACCAUUAGCCCACGCCUUGCGUGCAGCUGAGGAACUACAACACCCAAAGUGCACCGGUGGGAUCAGGCCACGUGGUUCCGGUUUGGACAGGAAGUGGGACCGUCGGUCUGGAGGGAGGGGAAGUGGCAGCGUCUUCCUCCAGCUGGGCGACAGGGCAGCGGCUCUGAGUGCGGCGCUCCAGCUCUUCUUUCACGGUAUGGCCAAGAGACGGAUAGAAAAGUUUCCCCAUGCAGCAUUGGUGAACAUUGGACUGUAAACAUGCAUGAUCAUGUGGAAGAGCCCAACUGGAGAAAAGUAUGAAAAUCAUUAAGGCCUAUGUGACUGGUGGUAGGAAAAUCGUCUGUUGUGAUCAUACCCAUCCCAGAAUGUUCCAGAUGCUGGUAGAGGCAGCGCCCAUAAUUUUAUAGAAAUUCUUGGAAACUGAGUCAUGUGAAAGGGUGGAAGAGGUAGCCUGUGAAAUGGGGGUCAGGCUGCAAGCGGACAUACAGCAGCAAUCUGCUCAACUUGUCUACACUGGAAAUGGCAGCCGAGGCAAGGCAGCAGCAAUGUUACUGUGCUGGAAAUGACACAGAAAAACAAUCAUUUUACUAACUAGUUAUCACCCCCUCCACUGAAGGCGCUGGUGCAUGCUAGGGGACAGUUCAGCAGGUACUGGCCACCAUUCGAUACCUUGCUCAAGUUGCCACUCUUCACGUGAAGCUAGACAGUGGGUUUAGCAAGCUGUUUGACAGUAGGGGGCAUCACAGCUGAGCCUGAUUCUAUCCACGCACCCACUUUACAGCAGGGCAAAUAUUGAUCAGGAUCUGGAACCCUGGCUGAUUUUACCUGUCCUUAGCCUGUGGGUGCUAAGGGUCACUCUUGCUACACUGGCUAAGGUCAGCUAAGUCAGCACUUAUUGGGAAUGGAACCUGGGAUGUUCGGGUAGGUAUAGCUCAGUUAAACACUGCCUUAUUCAACUGAACUAUAAGAGAGAUGAACAAUGCAGUAUUUUGUCUCAUAAAAGUUGCUAUAGUUCAUUCCAUUAGUAAGAAUGUUACUGUAAAGAAAUACUUUGAAUAUGAAAUUCCCAAUCUCCUCUGCCUGCAUGCCCAAUUUUAUUUUUCCAUAAGCACCUGUAAUACAUCUGAAAAUGUUGGCCUGGUCAUUGCUGAUUUUACAUCUUUCAUUUGCCUUGCAAAAUGUGACCAAUAUAUGGAUUUACAAUGUUCUCUAUUAGUAGUUUACAGUUGUUGCUCCUGGAAUGUA
Long non-coding RNA from Rhincodon typus (whale shark), 1476 nucleotides. RefSeq lists it as uncharacterized. The transcript is spliced from 4 exons. The record is from RefSeq and is a predicted model, not a curated record. NCBI's taxonomy places the organism in Eukaryota, Metazoa, Chordata, Chondrichthyes, Orectolobiformes, Rhincodontidae.